Molecule: ribosomal RNA, 472 nt
Filed under: uncultured bacterium
Lineage: Bacteria
Description: bacterial SSU rRNA
Rfam family: Bacterial small subunit ribosomal RNA
Source: RNAcentral
UGGGGAAUAUUGGACAAUGGGCGAAAGCCUGAUCCAGCCAUGCCGCGUGUGUGAAGAAGGUCUUCGGAUUGUAAAGCACUUUAAGUUGGGAGGAAGGGUUGUAGAUUAAUACUCUGCAAUUUUGACGUUACCGACAGAAUAAGCACCGGCUAACUAUGUGCCAGCAGCCGCGGUAAUACAGAGGGUGCAAGCGUUAAUCGGAAUUACUGGGCGUAAAGCGCGCGUAGGUGGUUUGUUAAGUUGGAUGUGAAAUCCCCGGGCUCAACCUGGGAACUGCAUUCAAAACUGACUGACUAGAGUAUGGUAGAGGGUGGUGGAAUUUCCUGUGUAGCGGUGAAAUGCGUAGAUAUAGGAAGGAACACCAGUGGCGAAGGCGACCACCUGGACUAAUACUGACACUGAGGUGCGAAAGCGUGGGGAGCAAACAGGAUUAGAUACCCCAGUAGUCCCUGAGCGGGCUGGCAAGGCGCAU